Long non-coding RNA from Haemorhous mexicanus (house finch), 4305 nucleotides. RefSeq lists it as uncharacterized. NCBI's taxonomy places the organism in Eukaryota, Metazoa, Chordata, Aves, Passeriformes, Fringillidae. The transcript has 2 exons. The record is from RefSeq and is a predicted model, not a curated record.
AUGUUAACUAGUUUGGGAAUUAAUGUCAACUGUGUCAUUGCAAUUUAAUUUUUUUUGUGGGAUUGUCCCUUAGCCAUAGUGUAAUAUGUAGUCUUACUGCAGAGGCUUGAAAAUACAGAAAUACUCAGCAGAUAACUGUGUUAUGUGUAUAUCAUGAACCUUUCCAUUAUAAAGUUUUUAUUUCAUGCUAUUAAUGAUAAUUUUGGAUUACCAGCUCUGUUGGAAUAUUUUUGGAAUGCAAACUGACAACUUCUUGCAGGAUAUCUAUCAGACCUAGGGGCAAGUAGGCAGAUUUCUUUAUGUGAAAUGUAAGUUUGUUUGUGAUAAUGAAUUUCACUGAAAUUUUGUGCUUUUACCUUCAGGAGUCUAUCAUAAGCUUAGGAGUGUGUUACCUUUGACUGUAGCUCCUUUUAAAAAGGACAGCAGGAUGAGAUGUGUCUGGUGGUAUGAAGUUCUGCUGAGUUUCCAAUUCUAGAUAUUUUAAUCACUUCACCAGUUUAUAUAUUCACUGUGGAUGAAAGAUGUCUCGGCUGCGACAUGCUGAUGAAUAUGAAAGGAAGUGUAGUGUGCUUAGUCACAGGAGGGUUUGUGUGGGUUUCAGUAGUACUCCAAACAGAUGUGAGCUGAAGUUAAGGGAGAAACAAACAGCUGUUUUGAUUUCUCUUCUCCUCUCUGAUUCACCCACUAGAGGUGAACCUCCCACCUUACUUUAUGGUGCUUUUUGAACAUUGGCAUCCUUAUAUGCAUUACGAUGGAUGUUACAUACCUGCUGAUAGGAGAACUGGAAUGGUGACUUAAAAAAUGGAAGCAGUUUAGCUGUUACACAGCUCUGUUUCCUGUAGAUACCAAGGUGAUUUGAAGAAAAACCACAAUCCUUGUUUUACUGCCAGAGAGGACAAAAUAAGAGGUAUAAAGCAGUUAUACCAAAUUCAUCUAGGAAGUCAGUGGCAAAAAGGGGUAUUAAACCCACUGCCUCCUCCAUUACUAUGUCUGUCUUAUAUCUUUGAAGGAAUAAAGGACAGAAGAAGAGGUGUUCUCUCUGAAAUACCCAGGUUGACCUGAAUUGGCAGGUGUUUUCCAUCUGUCAGGGAGAGACAUCCAUUCCUGCUCUCCUAGGCUUCCUCUUUGGAGGUAGCAUAUUACUUAUAGUAGGUAUAGGAAACAUAUUAAGCUAAGUAAGAAGAUCAGCUUUUUCUCCUUAAAGUGGUUGUCAGCAUAAGUGUUCAGUCAUGACUAGCAGUAUCUGCUGCAGGUUAAAUUUUAGCUGGCAGCUAAAAUCUCAACUAAACAUCACCAACUAUGCUGGUGGUGCCCCCUUGAGGCAGGGGAAGGGUUCAGUUCUGAGCACAGAACAGUCCUACUGAGUUCAUCUUCACAGUCAGAAGCACACAGUUGCGGACCACUGUGUAUCAGAGGAUGCUUGUAUUGUGCCUUGGGUGAUUUGCAGUGUAUGAUGUACCAGGCUGUGUAAUAGCUGAAGAUGCAUUGUAUCCAAGGUCUAGGAAAAUAAACUUUACAUCUGGUGUCACCUGAAUUGGAUUCCGCUUUUCUGAGGAACUAGAUUUUGGUGGGACAUCGUGAUGUGCUUCUGGUUAUAAAUACUUACAAAAAGAUGUUUGCAAGCAUGAGGAGGAGCCAGAAGAAUAGAAGGAAACAUGGCUAGAAUCCAAGGCGAGACUGGCAAAGCAAGCUGAUGGCAGCAGAACAGAAGAAUAGAAAGGGAAGGAUCAUCUGCUGAAGGUGUGGAAAAACAGAAAGUCUUCACAACUCAAAUGUGGUGGUACCAAGGCGUGUGAUUUUUUUUUAAAUUUUUUUUUUUUAACUGGAAGAGAAGCAGUUGCGCUUCAGAUUCUGCUGAGAGAGUUCAAUAUGAAGCUGCAGAGAAAAGCAAAAAUGACUUGAGAAACUGAAAUGGAAGAUGAAGCGUAGCCAAUAAAUAUGUACAUGUGCAUCAAAGAGAAACGGAGAAUGCAAUUCACUUGGUGUGCUGUGUGUUUGCUGCAUUUGGCAGUGCACAUGGAAAAGGAGGACAAGUAACCUGGCUUAAACUGCAAGCCAUAAAAACUUUAACUUCCAAAGACUUUCCCUGUUUUAAAGAACAGCAAGUUAUUUCCUUAUUUUCUAUUUCUUUUAUGCUCCCUUUACUUCCCUUUGCUGAAUUUCUGUUGUCUUCUUUCUGUCAAAUGGCAGAUAUUUGCACAAUUUCUGUUUGUUUGGUCCUGCUGUAUAAAAAUACUGGCAUUUUAAAGAAAAAUGGCGGCUUAGGGGGUACACAAAUAUCUUGCAGCUCCCUUCGAUAGUAUUUAAUUCUGAUAUAAAGGUAAUAUGCUUUGCAGUGUUUCUAAAAGUCACCCUACCACUCAAGAGUAGUGAUAACAGAUAUGUGACAGCGCAAUUGCCAUCAAACCUGCCCAGGUCAAGUGAACCUGUAUUGUUAAGGAUACUGUACUAAUCAAAUAAAUGCUGGACAGAUUGCUAUAAUACUUUGUCAUCAUCUGUUACUGGCACCUAAAAUGUAUUUUACACUUUUAUUGUUAACUUUGAAUAUGUGGAGGAAUCUUACCUUGAGAGAUAGGGGCUUCUUCUGCAGGGGUACAUGAAAGCUAUGCUAAGUAUUCUUACCCCAAUGCUUUCAGCAGCUGGGAGGAAUACCCCUUUUGGCAUUAAUUCUUCCUUUUCCCAUUCCUUGUUUCAGAAAAGUACUGAAAUAAUUGCGUGUGUGUUAUACUUCUGUAGAAAUCCUCCAGUGUGGAUUACCAGCUCCUCAGGUUUCAUGCACUAUUAACUUUUUAAUUGGGAGAUUUUUGUGUUCCUUAAAUAAAUUACUGGAAUUGCAGAGUUCUGCUGUAAUACCAGGUAUUUUUUAGAAAAGAAAUUACUAAAGACUACUACUUCAGAACUUUCCGGCCAAUUACUGAAAUUUCAGACUCCCAUCUGAGAACAUUAUCCUGUCACAGCAUAGCAUUUACAGAACCACCUCACUUUUUCAAUGAGAUUAUAGCCUUGGUAUCAAUAGGCUUUAGAAUUCAUUGUGAUUGUAACUGAAAGAUGGGAUUUGUCUGCUGUAUGAGAUGACUGAGAAUUAAAACGUCUAAGAUAGAACCAUUCGCCUUAAACUCUUUCUAGUCUGAAAGAAGCCGGUGGCUACUGCUGUGCCUGCACUACAGAAAUGAAAUAAGGCAAAAAAACAGACAAAUAAACCAAAUUAUAUUUAUUGGCUGUAUUGGUUGCUGCAGUUAAAGCUAAGCUUAAUGAAAUUUUAACAUGUUUGAUAAUUGUAGUAAGUAAAUGUAAAGCAAAUUUUUGUUUCUUAUGAUCAGUUAUGUUUCCACUUACCCCUUUUAUUUUGUGGUGGAGAUUUAAAUUCUCUUCCCCAUCUUGCCUUCAUUGAAAAUAGCUUGUAUUUGUCUCACACUUCAAUUCCUUCUCCCUGUUCCUUUUACACAUCAUUAAUACCUGAGUUUUGGUUUAGUAAUUUUCUUGAUACACUGAUAUCAACGAGAGAGAAAUGGCAGAAUAAAAUUAUUUUUAUUUGUAUUGUAGACGAUGGCAACAGCAUGUAGCUAGAAGGAUAUAACUAAUAAAAAGUAUAACUAAUUGGAUAAUUUAAAAGUGACAAGGGAAAACUGCUUUUCAUCUUCAAUAUGAAAUUAAAAUACUUGUCAACAAAACUUCUGCAGGUCUGUUGAAAGUAUUUCAGUUCCUAUUUUGAGUGUAUAUGUAAAGAAAAAUGACUUGGAGAUCAUCACUGAAAUAGAAGGGAGUUUAGCUGGAGAUUCAGUGGGCUAAUCUUAUGUAUGUUAGGAAAUUAGAAUUAUGAUAGUAAUUCCCUGCUAUGAAUUAGGAAACAAAAUCAUAAUGGAAAACAGUUUUACAAGGGAUCGAUUGAAACUCUAAUUGCCUUUUUUAAAGGAAUCUGUACUCCUUAAAAUCAACAGGAUUUAUUCAAGGUUUUAGUUCUUUUAAAGAAUCUUCUUUUUAAAUUGGAUGCAGAUUGCUUGAAUUUAUCCAGUAGCAAUGUUGGGUCAUAUCUGCUGAUUAUCCUUUCAGAGACACAAGGUAGUUUUUGAGUGGGGGGAGAAAAAGUGUUGGUUUUCUUGAUUUCUGGCAGAUGUUAUAUUAAUUUAAACUGUUACUUAGUUUUAAAAUUUUUUUAACUUCAUUAUGAGAUAAUUUUCUGUUUAGUUGCUUUUCAGAGCAUAUUUUUACAGGAACAUUUUUUUCCACACUUAAUAUGGAAAACAUUGUGUUUAUUAUAGUUGGAGAUGGUUUUUAACUUUAAUAAACCUCAUGCAUUUGACAACA